UUUUCCUCACCAAACACAAACCUGUGUCCAGGGCUCCCGUACGUCUUUGCGGCGUUUUCGGUCGAGUGCUGUGACAGUUCGGCCGGCCAUGCACACGGGAGACAAUACGCCUUCGGGGGUACGUGCCUUUGUGCGGCCGACAGGUAUUUCAGAUCCACAGCGGGUCGUUUCGAACGGUUCCUUGGGGCUCUGCUCCAGGUUGAGCCGGGAGAGCGGCUUUGCGGCGCGUCACAUUCCUAAUUUCCGCCGAAUCCUCCAUUGGAGGCUGAAGACAGGAGAUACAACCGUGACAGCGUACAUAC
RNAcentral lists this small RNA (302 nucleotides) under Neofusicoccum parvum UCRNP2. RNAcentral describes it as "A. fumigatus sRNA Afu_309". It matches the Rfam family "A. fumigatus sRNA Afu_309". The record is from Rfam by way of RNAcentral. Lineage: Eukaryota; Fungi; Ascomycota; Dothideomycetes; Botryosphaeriales; Botryosphaeriaceae.